CCACCGGCCGCUCUAGUGGUAGCUGUUUUUAUUGGGCCUUAAGCGUUCGUAGCCGGUUUGGUAAGUCACUGGUGAAAUCCUGUAGCUUAACUCUGGGAAUUGCUGGUGAUACUGUUGAACUUGAGGUCGGGAGAGGUUAGCGGUACUCCCAGGGUAGAGGUGAAAUUCUGUAAUCCUGGGAGGACCACCUGUGGCGAAGGCGGCUAACUGGAACGAACCUGACGGUGAGGGACGAAAGCUAGGGGCGCGAACCGGAUUAGAUACCCGGGUAGUCCUAGCCGUAAACGAUGCGGACUUGGUGUUGGGAUGGCUUUGAGCCGCUCCGGUGCCGAAGGGAAGCUGUUAAGUCCGCCGCCUGGGAAGUACGGUCGCAAGACUGAAACUUAAAGGAAUUGGCGGGG
This 401-nucleotide ribosomal RNA is filed under the name uncultured bacterium. Its description in RNAcentral is "partial 16S ribosomal RNA". It matches the Rfam family "Archaeal small subunit ribosomal RNA", at positions 473 to 873 of the family's 1478-position model. The record is from RNAcentral.